CAGUCGCCGCGGUAAUACGUAGGUGGCAAGCGUUGUCCGGAAUUAUUGGGCGUAAAGGGCUCGCAGGCGGUUUCUUAAGUCUGAUGUGAAAGCCCCCGGCUCAACCGUGGAGGGUCAUUGGAAACUGUUAAACUUGAGUGCAGGAGAGAAAAGUGGAAUUCCUAGUGUAGCGGUGAAAUGCGUAGAGAUUAGGAGGAACACCAGUGGCGAAGGCGGCUUUUUGGCCUGUAACUGACACUGAGGUGCGAAAGCGUGGGGAGCAAACAGGAUUAGAUACCCCCGUAGUCCCUGUCUCUUAUAC
This 301-nucleotide ribosomal RNA is filed under the name uncultured bacterium. RNAcentral's name for it is "partial 16S ribosomal RNA". It matches the Rfam family "Bacterial small subunit ribosomal RNA", at positions 509 to 807 of the family's 1533-position model. The record is from RNAcentral.